Molecule: long non-coding RNA, 460 nt
Filed under: Equus caballus (horse)
Lineage: Eukaryota; Metazoa; Chordata; Mammalia; Perissodactyla; Equidae
Description: lncRNA (ENSECAG00000044018.1)
Source: RNAcentral
GGGCGGCGUCGCGGGUGGGGACGGGCUUCCUCUGCGGGCGGGUCUGCAGCUCCGCUCCCGGCCCCUCGGGCGGCGUCACGGCCAGCAAAGCGCCCGAGGCUCCCUUUCCCCGGUUGUUUCCCGUCACCCGGGCUCUAAACUUCACGGCGGAUCUGUGUUCCAGUGGAUUAGAAGAACGCACCCGGCAGGCUUCAGGGAGCUCCAGAGGCGACUCCAAGUAACGGGUUUAGGGGGCCGGCCCGCGGCCUGGCGGUUAGAGUUCCUGUUCUCCGCUUCAGCCCGUCGUGGAUCCAGACCAUCCGCCUGUCAGCAGCCUGCUGUGAGGACGGCCGCACGGAAGAACUGGAACCGCUGAAACUAGGUUUUCCCACCAGGUGCUCAUGGAUCUUACCUACGACAACCCAUCCUUGCUACCAAUACAGUCUGGAUUCUAAAAUCCCAGAAUCAGAGUUUAUCAUCU